Molecule: transfer RNA, 91 nt
Filed under: Halolamina pelagica
Lineage: Archaea; Methanobacteriati; Methanobacteriota; Halobacteria; Halobacteriales; Haloferacaceae
Description: tRNA-Arg
Source: RNAcentral
GUCGUCGUGGCGGCGGGUCGCCGCGCGGCCGCCGAGGCCGCCCGAUUUCUCCAGAACGGUCACGUCGGCGUUCGGGCGCGCCUCGUCGACG